CCGACUUUGGCCUCGCCGCAGAGAACAUCUUCGACCAGACAAGAACCAACGGAGUAAUAGGAACCCCUGGAUACCGCGCACCAGAGGUUCUAUCAAAGGCAGAGUAUAACGCAGGCGUGGAUUGGUGGUCUUUUGGGAUUACCAUGUACCAAAUGGCCACGGGCAGCUUGCCAUUUUCACCAUCAGGCAGUAUUUUAAGGCAAUUCUUUGCAAUAAAGAAGAAUACGCCUUAUUACCCAUAUUAUAUGAGCAAGGAAAUGCUGGACCUCCUGCCGAAGCUUUUGGAGAUGGAUGAGAAUC
Long non-coding RNA from Xenopus laevis (African clawed frog), 300 nucleotides. RefSeq lists it as uncharacterized. The record is from RefSeq and is a predicted model, not a curated record. Lineage: Eukaryota; Metazoa; Chordata; Amphibia; Anura; Pipidae. The transcript has 3 exons.